AUUGAACGCUGGCGGCAGGCUUAACACAUGCAAGUCGAGCGGGGGAAGGUAGCUUGCUACCGGACCUAGCGGCGGACGGGCGAGUAAUGCUUAGGAAUCUGCCUAUCAGUGCGGGACAACAUCUCGAAAGGGAUGCUAAUACCGCAUACGUCCUACGGGCGCAAGCAGGGGAUCUUCGGCCCUUGCGCGAAUAGAUGAGCCUAAGUCGGAUUAGCUAGUUGGUGUGGUAAAGGCGCACCAAGGCUAAGACACCUAGGCGGACUGAGAGGUUGACCGCCGGCAUUGGGACUGAGACACUGCCCAGACUCCUACGGGAGGCUGCAGUCGAGAAUCUUUCGCAAUGGGCGCAAGCCUGACGAAGCGACGCCUCGUGAGUGAUGAAGGCCUACGGGUUGUAAAGCUCUGUUGUCGGGGAACAAGAGAAAGGGACGAAUAGUCUUCUAAUUCGAGGGUACCCGAAGAAUAAGCACCGGCUAACUCCGUGCCAGCCGCCGCAGUAA
RNAcentral lists this ribosomal RNA (500 nucleotides) under uncultured bacterium. RNAcentral's name for it is "partial 16S ribosomal RNA". It matches the Rfam family "Bacterial small subunit ribosomal RNA", at positions 30 to 523 of the family's 1533-position model. The record is from RNAcentral.